Molecule: ribosomal RNA, 380 nt
Filed under: Escherichia coli
Lineage: Bacteria; Pseudomonadati; Pseudomonadota; Gammaproteobacteria; Enterobacterales; Enterobacteriaceae
Description: bacterial SSU rRNA
Rfam family: Bacterial small subunit ribosomal RNA
Source: RNAcentral
AAAUUGAAGAGUUUGAUCAUGGCUCAGAUUGAACGCUGGCGGCAGGCCUAACACAUGCAAGUCGAACGGUAACAGGAAUCAGCUUGCUGAUUCGCUGACGAGUGGCGGACGGGUGAGUAAUGUCUGGGAAACUGCCUGAUGGAGGGGGAUAACUACUGGAAACGGUAGCUAAUACCGCAUAACGUCGCAAGACCAAAGAGGGGGACCUUCGGGCCUCUUGCCAUCGGAUGUGCCCAGAUGGGAUUAGCUAGUAGGUGGGGUAACGGCUCACCUAGGCGACGAUCCCUAGCUGGUCUGAGAGGAUGACCAGCCACACUGGAACUGAGACACGGUCCAGACUCCUACGGGAGGCAGCAGUGGGGAAUAUUGCACAAUGGGCG